Long non-coding RNA from Drosophila yakuba, 1436 nucleotides. RefSeq lists it as uncharacterized. The transcript has 2 exons. NCBI's taxonomy places the organism in Eukaryota, Metazoa, Arthropoda, Insecta, Diptera, Drosophilidae. The record is from RefSeq and is a predicted model, not a curated record.
GGGGAAAAAUUAAAACUCGGAAAAGCCGAGUGAGUGGGAAAAGUUAACUGAGUUUUGCUUGUGUUUUCAUUUUUGUUUACGAGGUUUUGAUGUUUGUCGUUCAUAUUGUUUCACUUUAAUUGUGAGUAUCAAGCUAUAUACUCCGAAAAAGUACGUCAAAUAUUUUUUUUGGAGACUGAAAAACAAAAUUUUAAAAAUGAUACAAACAACUUGUAUAGAUCCAGGCAUUCGGAAAUAGAACUGCACACUUUUAUAACGAAUUUUGCCAUUAUAACAAAAUAAACACAAUUUUCUUAUUAAGAUGUUAACAUUUUAAAGCUCUAACAAACCUAAGAAAUUGUUUUUUGUGUACGAGGUUAGAUGUGUCCCCUUUAAUUGAUGAGUUGAAGAGGGUAAUGGAGGGCAGGUGACCGCCAGUCAGCGAGUCUUAAUUGGAACCCCCUGAUAUCAAAGGCGAGGAGUGAGGGACAGCAAUUAUAAUCAAUAAUCAGCUUGAGCAUUAAGUAUCCGACCCGUUAACUGUGGCUGUGCAAGUUGCUUCUAAGGACUGAAUGAUUAUGAAUACUCAACGUCCAGUCCCAGAUGGCCGGUCCUUUUCGAUCCCUUCUUUCCUUUUCAAUUGAGGCUGAUGAUGAUGCUGUAAAAUGUCAAAUGUGAGUGCUGCUUUCAUAUGAAAUGACGCAAGAAAUAAAAGCGUUCGCCUUUGGGACGCCACUGGCAAAGGGCAACCAUCCAUCUGCCAUCCGCCAUCCGCCAUCCCAGCCAUGCAUACAAUGCGAAAGCCUGGCCAGUGACGUCACGGCCAUAAAGGACUGCAUACGGUGAACAUAUCCUGGCCACAAAAUCCAGGCCGAGGGACCCAUCGACCCAUCCAGCAGAAGAGCAGAAUGUACCUGAGGCGGGUUAAUUAAACGCAAGGAACGUCAUCAGCAUCCUUUAUACGCCCUGGCCACGUUGCGCAUACGACCUGUGAACCAGGCGUCCAGCCACAACUCUGACUCAAUUUGAGCUAUUCAAGCUGCAUAAUGCACUCGGUGCAUCCAUCGGCAACAUCACGCAUCAAUGGAGCAACAAAAACAACGUCAACAAUCAAUAUUGAUGCCGAGCGAGCGAUGAUUGUGAUGAUAACAGGCCCUGCCGUUGUUGCUGCCGUUGUUGCUCCCCCGAUAAUUAUGCUCAUAAAAGCGUAAGAGUUUUAAUUGGACUGCUUAUUACAAAUAAUCAGUGCAGUGCCUUGCCUGUCUGGGCAUAGAAAGUGGAUCGGAGGCCUGGGGACCGACCAUAUCAUAUUGGGCGUGUGCGCUCGUGUGCACUUGCCUGAGUUAUUCAAUUUGUGGCAUCAGCCAAAUUGCAGCCACAGCAACAAUUACGCCAAUCACACGACAGCAACAAUAACAAUAUGCUAAAAUUAAACGGAAAACGCGUUGGAAAUUAAA